Molecule: non-coding RNA, 175 nt
Organism: Lonchura striata (white-rumped munia)
Lineage: Eukaryota; Metazoa; Chordata; Aves; Passeriformes; Estrildidae
Source: RefSeq, a predicted model, not a curated record
GAUUUAAAGGGGCUGUGUCCCAGUGCCAUCACGCCGGGGCACAUGACUCUGAAGACUCUGCAGAGAGGAAGAGGCCAGAGGAAAGCUGGGGUGAAACUGGCUGCCAGGUUUUUGGAGAGCAGGGCUGCUCGCUUGGCUCUGCUCUACGAGGGAUCUUUCAUCAGGAAGUCUCAGG